Molecule: ribosomal RNA, 497 nt
Filed under: uncultured bacterium
Lineage: Bacteria
Description: partial 16S ribosomal RNA
Rfam family: Bacterial small subunit ribosomal RNA
Source: RNAcentral
GAUGAACGCUGGCGGCGUGCCUAAUACAUGCAAGUCGAGCGAACAGAUGAGGAGCUUGCUCCUCUGACGUUAGCGGCGGACGGGUGAGUAACACGUGGAUAACCUACCUAUAAGACUGGGAUAACUUCGGGAAACCGGAGCUAAUACCGGAUAAUAUAUUGAACCGCAUGGUUCAAUAGUGAAAGACGGUUUUGCUGUCACUUAUAGAUGGAUCCGCGCCGCAUUAGCUAGUUGGUAAGGUAACGGCUUACCAAGGCAACGAUGCGUAGCCGACCUGAGAGGGUGAUCGGCCACACUGGAACUGAGACACGGUCCAGACUCCUACGGGAGGCAGCAGUAGGGAAUCUUCCGCAAUGGGCGAAAGCCUGACGGAGCAACGCCGCGUGAGUGAUGAAGGUCUUCGGAUCGUAAAACUCUGUUAUGAGGGAAGAACAAAUGUGUAAGUAACUAUGCACGUCUUGACGGUACCUAAUCAGAAAGCCACGGCUAACUACGUG